AUUUUGCUCAAUGGGGGAAACCCUGAAGCAGCAACGCCGCGUGAGGGAUGAAGGCCUUCGGGUUGUUUACCUCUUUUCUCAGGGAAGAUGAUGACGGUACCUGAGGAAUAAGCCACGGCUAACUACGUGCCAGCAGCCGCGGUAAUACGUAGGUGGCGAGCGUUGUCCGGAUUUACUGGGCGUAAAGAGCGCGCAGGCGGUCGUGCAAGUCGCGUGUGAAAGCCCCCGGCUCAACUGGGGAGGGUCACGCGAUACUGCUCGACUCGAAGGCAGGAGAGGGAAGUGGAAUUCCCGGUGUAGUGGUGAUUUGCGUAGAUAUCGGGAGGAACACCAGUGGCGAAGGCGACUUCCUGGCCUGUUCUUGACGCUGAGGCGCGAAAGCUAGGGUAGCAAACGGGAUUAGAUACCGCGGUAGUCCUAGCCGUAAACGAUGGACACUAGGUGUUGGUGGUAUCAACCCCGCCAGUGCCGAAGCUAACGCAUUAAGUGUCCCGCCUGGGGAGUACGGCCGCAAGGCUAUAACUCAAAGGAAUUGACGGGGGCCCGCACAAGCAGCGGAG
This 560-nucleotide ribosomal RNA is filed under the name uncultured bacterium. RNAcentral describes it as "bacterial SSU rRNA". It matches the Rfam family "Bacterial small subunit ribosomal RNA", at positions 361 to 937 of the family's 1533-position model. The record is from RNAcentral.